Molecule: ribosomal RNA, 468 nt
Filed under: uncultured bacterium
Lineage: Bacteria
Description: partial 16S ribosomal RNA
Rfam family: Bacterial small subunit ribosomal RNA
Source: RNAcentral
GACGAACGCUGGCGGCGUGCUUAACACAUGCAAGUCGAACGGAAAGGCCCUGCUUUUGUGGGUUGCUCGAGUGGCGAACGGGUGAGUAACACGUGAGUAACCUGCCCUUGACUUUGGGAUAACUUCAGGAAACUGGGGCUAAUACCGGAUAGGAGCUCCUGCUGCAUGGUGGGGGUUGGAAAGUUUCGGCGGUUGGGGAUGGACUCGCGGCUUAUCAGCUUGUUGGUGGGGUAGUGGCUUACCAAGGCUUUGACGGGUAGCCGGCCUGAGAGGGUGACCGGCCACAUUGGGCCUACGAUACGGCCCAGACUCCUACGGGAGGCAGCAGUGGGGAAUAUUGCACAGUGGGCGGAAGCCUGAUGCAGCAACGCCGCGUGCGGGAUGACGGCCUUCGGGUUGUAAACCGCUUUCGCCUGUGACGAAGCGUGAGUGACGGUAAUGGGUAAAGAAGCACCGGCUAACUACGUG